UACGGAGGGUGCGAGCGUUAAUCGGAAUUACUGGGCGUAAAGGGUGCGUAGGUGGUCUGAUAAGUUAUCUGUGAAAGCCCUGGGCUCAACCUGGGAAGGCCAGAUAAGACUGUUGGACUGGAGUAUGGGAGAGGGCAGUGGAAUUUCCGGUGUAGCGGUGAAAUGCGUAGAGAUCGGAAGGAACACCAGUGGCGAAGGCGGCUGCCUGGCCUGAUACUGACACUGAGGCACGAAAGCGUGGGGAGCAAACAGG
RNAcentral lists this ribosomal RNA (253 nucleotides) under uncultured bacterium. RNAcentral's name for it is "partial 16S ribosomal RNA". It matches the Rfam family "Bacterial small subunit ribosomal RNA", at positions 524 to 776 of the family's 1533-position model. The record is from RNAcentral.